This 71-nucleotide transfer RNA is filed under the name Marmota monax (woodchuck). Its description in RNAcentral is "tRNA.Ala". It matches the Rfam family "tRNA". Rfam says of the family: Transfer RNA (tRNA) molecules are approximately 80 nucleotides in length. Their secondary structure includes four short double-helical elements and three loops (D, anti-codon, and T loops). Lineage: Eukaryota; Metazoa; Chordata; Mammalia; Rodentia; Sciuridae. The record is from RNAcentral.
GGGGUUGUGGCUCAGUGGUAGAGUGCUUGCCUGGCAUGCAUGAAGCCCUGGGUUCCAUUCCCACCACCACA